UACGUAGGGGGCUAGCGUUGUCCGGAAUCAUUGGGCGUAAAGAGCGUGUAGGCGGCCCGGUAAGUCCGCUGUAAAAGUCAAAGGCUCAACCUUUGAAUGUCAGUGGAUACUGCCGGGCUAGAGUCCGGAAGAGGCGAGUGGAACUCCUGGUGUAGCGGUGGAAUGCGCAGAUAUCAGGAAGAACACCAACGGCGAAGGCAGCUCGCUGGGACGGUACUGACGCUGGGACGCGAAAGCGUGGGGAGCGAACAGG
This 253-nucleotide ribosomal RNA is filed under the name uncultured bacterium. RNAcentral's name for it is "partial 16S ribosomal RNA". It matches the Rfam family "Bacterial small subunit ribosomal RNA", at positions 524 to 776 of the family's 1533-position model. The record is from RNAcentral.